Molecule: ribosomal RNA, 476 nt
Filed under: uncultured bacterium
Lineage: Bacteria
Description: partial 16S ribosomal RNA
Rfam family: Bacterial small subunit ribosomal RNA
Source: RNAcentral
GACGAACGCUGGCGGCGCGCCUCAUACAUGCAAGUCGAGCGAGAACCAGGGCUUGCCCUGGGGACAGCGGCGAACGGGUGCGUACCACGUGAGCAACCUGCCCCGAAGACCGGGAUAACUCGAGGAAACUCUGGCUAAUACCGGAUGUCCUCGGUGGACCGCAUGGUCCGGCGAGGCACUGGAUUCCGCUUCGGGAUGGGCUCGCGGCCUAUCAGCUUGUUGGUGGGGGAACGGCCUACCAAGGCGACGACGGGUAGAUGGUCUGGGAGGACGAUCAGCCACACUGGGACUGAGACACGGACCAGACUCCUACGGGAGGCAGCAGUAGGGAAUCUUGCGCAAUGGGGGAAAGCCUGACGCAGCGACGCCGCGUGCGGUAUGAAGGCCUUCGGGUCGUAAACCGCUUUCAGCAGGGACGAAAUUGACGGUACCUGCAGAAGAAGGCCCGGCCAACUACGUGCCAGCAGCCGCAGUAA